This 193-nucleotide non-coding RNA is filed under the name unidentified. RNAcentral's name for it is "Candidatus Burkholderia FMN sequence". It matches the Rfam family "FMN riboswitch aptamer (RFN element)". From Rfam's summary of the family: The RFN element is a highly conserved domain that is found frequently in the 5'-untranslated regions of prokaryotic mRNAs that encode for flavin mononucleotide (FMN) biosynthesis and transport proteins. The record is from RNAcentral.
ACAUGUUCUCGGGGCGGGGUGCAAUUCCCCACCGGCGGUAAUCAUCUUAAUCAUCUUCGCUUGUGCGACAGAUGUAGCUCGCGAGCGCUCGAUCGCCUGCUCAUGCAACCUAUGCAAAAAGUCGGCGAACGAGGUCAGCAGACCCGGUUGGAUUCCGGGGCCGACGGUACAGUCCGGAUGAAAGAGAACGGGA